GUUGAUAAGCUUGAACAAAGAAGAUGAACCAAAACAGUUUUUUUGUUUUAAAUGAAUUAGUGGACUGCUGCCCUAAACAGAAAAUUUCGGAUUUGUUAGGGUGCUCUAAAAAUUCUGGACUUGUGAUAUGUUAUAGUACACUCAAUAAGCUUUCCAUAGACUCCGAAACGGACUAAAUCCGACAUCGGAGGAGUAAGUUAUGGGAUUUCUACCAAACUACACAAAGUUAAGAAAAACUGUUAGAAGGACAGUUUGUAACAGCUACUUCCGGGCUAAAUUCCGGGAGCUUAACAUGUCCAAAUAUGGAUUGUGAUAUAUGAAAACUAUAGUUUGGAAAGAUACAAAUCCAACAAAAUUGACGGAUCAUUAAUCAGAGUUACAGAUUUCGUUUUAUUUAAGUUUUGGUGAAGGACUCCAAAACUGCCAAAGUGCAAAAAGUUUCUGGCCAAAAUUUUCCGAGGGCUGUUUUGGACAUUUAGUUAAUGAGAAAAAUUCCAGGCUUUUGGGAAAUGAAAAUAUAUGGUAUUAAGUAGCUCGUGUCCAAAAAUGAGCUGAUUCCGAGUUAAAACGACCAAGUUAUGACCAUUACAAUUUUUGUGAUUUUCCGACGGAAAUUGCUAUAAACGGAGUUCUACAACUCCGAUUGCCACGAAAUUUAAAAUGGAGUAUCACGUUAACAUAUAUAAGGUUAUACCAAGAGAUGGGCAUUACUGGAGUUAAGCACGAGGUAACUAAUUUCUUAAGCUA
RNAcentral lists this long non-coding RNA (747 nucleotides) under Panax ginseng (ginseng). RNAcentral describes it as "long non-coding RNA (PGIN_LNC009821)". Lineage: Eukaryota; Viridiplantae; Streptophyta; Magnoliopsida; Apiales; Araliaceae. The record is from RNAcentral.